AACAAGAGGUGAGUGAAUUUUCUAGUAACUCUGAGGUUAAUUUUGAAAGUUUCGAUGGUUGUGGAAAUGAUGAGGAAAAUGAAAAUCUUAUAUUCAAUUCCACACAGUUUGAGUCAAGUCAAUUUGAGGAGUUUAAAAAUUAUGAGUCUAUGCCUAAAAUUGAUCAUGUUGCAUUUAAUGAGUCGGUUGAAAAAGUCUAUAAGCCUAAA
RNAcentral lists this long non-coding RNA (209 nucleotides) under Panax ginseng (ginseng). RNAcentral describes it as "long non-coding RNA (PGIN_LNC006539)". Lineage: Eukaryota; Viridiplantae; Streptophyta; Magnoliopsida; Apiales; Araliaceae. The record is from RNAcentral.